This 422-nucleotide ribosomal RNA is filed under the name uncultured bacterium. Its description in RNAcentral is "bacterial SSU rRNA". It matches the Rfam family "Bacterial small subunit ribosomal RNA", at positions 355 to 774 of the family's 1533-position model. The record is from RNAcentral.
UGAGGAAUAUUGGGCAAUGCCCGCAAGGGUGACCCAGCAACGCCGCGUGGAGGAUGAAUGUCGUAAGAUUGUAAACUCCUGUUAGAGGGGAAGAAUAGUACCGGUUGGACCGGUAUAUGACUGUACCCUCAGAGAAAGCCCCGGCUAACUACGUGCCAGCAGCCGCGGUAAUACGUAGGGGGCAAGCGUUGUCCGGAUUUACUGGGUGUAAAGGGCACGCAGGCGGGAUAAAAAGUCAGUGGUGAAAUCCUACAGCUUAACUGUAGAACUGCCUUUGAUACUUUUAUUCUUGAGUUCGGGAGAGAGAGACGGAAUUCCAGGUGUAGUGGUGAAAUACGUAGAUAUCUGGAAGAACACCAGUUGCGAAGGCGGUCUCUUGGUCCGACACUGACGCUGAGGCGCGAAAGCGUGGGGAGCAAACA